GGGGGCAGACACAGAGAAUAUGCCUUGAUAGUACCUGGGACCUAAGAGGCAUUGAAUAACUAGCUAUUGAUUGAAUGAAUGAUCUAAUUAAAUAUUUUCCAUUACAGUGCAUGUGGGGUUUUUACUUAUAACAAAGAACUUUGACCUUAUUUUCAUCUGUGUCACAUAUUAAUUUAUCAUCCAAUUUCUUGUGACUUUUUCAUCAAUGUAAGUAUACAACAGAAUUGGUUUUGAAUAGUCGAAUCCACGGUUUGUUUCUAGGGUCCCAUUGUUGGGAAAAAAAGACACCUUCUGUGGUUGUUGGUAGUUUUAACUGCAAAAACCUCCUGGUCAACACGGACCACAGAAAGAAUGAACAGUUUGCUUUGCAACUCACAAAUUAUGCUUCCGCGCAUAUUUCUAUUCUCAAGAAUACUUUUCCUAGAGAAAUCAUAAGUUGGGAAUGUGAAGCUUCGGUAGAACUCCUGACUUAGGAGGGUUUGCCUUCCAGAGAAGGACAAGACAAGGCAAGAAGGGAAACUGCAGAAGAACCAAAUUGAGUUUACAGGGUUCAUUGGAGAAUGCCAACUCUACUAGGAGGCUCCAGGCUCAACGACCAGGAGUGAACAGGGCUAUGGGGUUGGACAGGUACUGAGCACCCACUCUGUGCCAGGUGCUCAGCAUUGGCCUGCCACCUUGCCCUCACAUAUGGCCAUCGAGCCCACCUUACACCUGCGGUGCAUAUCAUCCGUCUCAUUUUAUCUAUUGAAGAGAAAAACUGAAGCUCUGAAAGUGUGAAAAGCCAGAAGACAAUCUGAGAUUAGAACCCAGUUCUGGCUCACCCCAAAACCUGUGCUGUCUGUCUAUUCCAUGUCACCUUCACAGCGUCCAUACCAAUGCUGCAUCCUAUGACAAAAUAAGAAGCUUUCAUAAGUCAGCCUGAGAACCAAGGUGCAGUGGGUAACUGGGAAAAUAGUGCUUAGGUCCAAUCAACUGAUGGGUAAGAGGACUUUAGGAACACAGCCUCUGGGAAGUCACUAAAGGCCAACCUAUCCCCAUGUUUAUAUAUUUAGCCAACACAUGUUCAUUCCUUUUUUUUUUUUUUUUUUAAGAUUUUAUUUAUUUAUUUAUGAGAGACAUAGAAAGGGAGAAAGGUAGAGACACAGGCAGGGGGAG
Molecule: long non-coding RNA, 1155 nt
Organism: Canis lupus familiaris (dog)
Lineage: Eukaryota; Metazoa; Chordata; Mammalia; Carnivora; Canidae
Exons: 3
Source: RefSeq, a predicted model, not a curated record